CCUACGGGGUGCAGCAGUGGGGAAUAUUGGGCAAUGGGCGCAAGCCUGACCCAGCAACGCCGCGUGAAGGAAGAAGGCCCUCGGGUUGUAAACUUCUUUUGUCAGGGACGAAACAAAUGACGGUACCGGACGAAUAAGCCACGGCUAACUACGGGCCAGCAGCCGCGGUAAUACGUAGGGGGCAAGCGUUAUCCGGAUUUACUGGGUGUAAAGGGCGUGUAGGCGGGAGAGCAAGUCAGAUGUGAAAUUCCAGGGCUCAACCCUGGAACUGCAUUUGAAACUGUUUUUCUUGAGUGAUGGUGAGGCAGGCGGAAUUCCGUUUUUAGCGGUGAAAUGCGUAGAUAUACGGAGGAACACCAGUGGCGAAGGCGGCCUGCUGGACAUUAACUGACGCUGAGGCGCGAAAGCGUGGGGAGCAAACAGGAUUAGAUACCCGAGUAGUC
RNAcentral lists this ribosomal RNA (443 nucleotides) under uncultured bacterium. RNAcentral's name for it is "partial 16S ribosomal RNA". It matches the Rfam family "Bacterial small subunit ribosomal RNA", at positions 338 to 795 of the family's 1533-position model. The record is from RNAcentral.